GGGCGCCACUGAUACGCCCUCCUCUGAAGGGCCAGAGACGGUCCAGUGCCCUGAGUCUCCAGCUCCUCUCACCCUACAGGAGAGCAGAGAACCCAACGAGAGUCUGUUGGCAGGUUUGGACUUGGUGGAGAGAGAGAACUUCUUAGAUGUUCACCUCACCAGGAACAGACCUCCACCUGCACGGAGGCAGCGGUCCGGAGUAAGUCAGAGAACGUCCUUCAGGAGAGCAGACUCCCCGUCGCCCAGUCCUGUCCCAUCGCUGUACAGACAGGACGUGGGAGUGGCAGAGUG
This is a long non-coding RNA of Sinocyclocheilus rhinocerous, 291 nucleotides long. RefSeq lists it as uncharacterized. The transcript has 3 exons. Lineage: Eukaryota; Metazoa; Chordata; Actinopteri; Cypriniformes; Cyprinidae. The record is from RefSeq and is a predicted model, not a curated record.